GGCUAAACUUCAGAAGAGUUUUGACGAGUUUAAAGGAAAGAAAGGUGUGGAUAUGACAACGAGUUGUCCCGAUGGUUGGCUGGCAUAAAAGGGAUCAUGUUAUUUGUUUGGCCCAAACAGUAUCGCAUUUGAAGCGGCUAAGGAAUACUGUAUUCGGAAUGCUGCGUACAUGGUUCGCGUGGAAAAUCCCAGAGAAGAUGUCUUCCUCAAA
Mercenaria mercenaria is the source of this 211-nucleotide long non-coding RNA. RefSeq lists it as uncharacterized. The transcript has 3 exons. NCBI's taxonomy places the organism in Eukaryota, Metazoa, Mollusca, Bivalvia, Venerida, Veneridae. The record is from RefSeq and is a predicted model, not a curated record.